GAGUUGCUUCAGAGGACUUAUGACUUUGCUGCCUUCACAAAGAAGAGGAAAAAGACAAGUCAGGAGGAAGGAAAACAUUUACAACAUAAUGAGAAGUUGGUCAGAGAUCUACACCUCAUUGGCUAUUAAUUACAUGCCAAGGCGUAAAUUUACUAUUUCAGUCAUUUUUGUGAAGUCUCUGAAAAUAAGUGACUAGAACGACCAGUGGUCGCAGGGUAUGCCUGCCCCUGUAUGUUCUUGUAGGCCAAAGUGGAAUUUCACAGCCUCCUCGGAUCCCAUCCCCCAAACCACAGUAGAACUACUGACUGUUGUUCUAAUUGUAGUAUGGACUUUCCAUGAUUCCUCCACAGCCAUUGGAUUUAUUCCACUUAAAUAUGUAUAUGGAAAUACUUUCAUCUAAUGAAAAAAUGCUGCCACCUUUGGGCAAAGCAUGACAUCUGCUUACGAGUGCAGAGCAACACUAUAUAAUAGGACAGGAAGUGAGUACUCUACCUAAUCAAAACUCCAUGAUGAAGACAGAAUGUAGUUCUCCAAACUGGAAUUUUGCAAGGACACUACUUGUGCCAAAAUCUUGUGAAAGGUUCAAUGGGACUUCUAAUAACCUCAAGCAGUCAGGAAGACCUCUUUUUUACUUCCACUUUGCAGAAUCAAGGCCACCUGGAGAUUAAAUUAGAACCUGAUCCAGCAAAUACCUUAAACAUGUGCUUAACUUUAAGCACAAGUGUAGAAUCAUAGAAUAUCAGG
Molecule: long non-coding RNA, 744 nt
Organism: Gopherus evgoodei (Goodes thornscrub tortoise)
Lineage: Eukaryota; Metazoa; Chordata; Testudines; Testudinidae
Exons: 3
Source: RefSeq, a predicted model, not a curated record